Molecule: ribosomal RNA, 407 nt
Filed under: uncultured bacterium
Lineage: Bacteria
Description: bacterial SSU rRNA
Rfam family: Bacterial small subunit ribosomal RNA
Source: RNAcentral
AGAGUUUGAUCCUGGCUCAGAACGAACGCUGGCGGCAUGCCUAACACAUGCAAGUCGAACGAUCCCUUCGGGGAUAGUGGCGCACGGGUGCGUAACGCGUGGGAACCUGCCCUUAGGUUCGGAAUAACUCCCCGAAAGGGGUGCUAAUACCGGAUAAUGUCUUCGGACCAAAGAUUUAUCGCCUUUGGAUGGGCCCGCGUUGGAUUAGCUAGUUGGUGGGGUAAAGGCCUACCAAGGCGACGAUCCAUAGCUGGUCUUAGAGGAUGAUCAGCCACACUGGGACUGAGACACGGCCCAGACUCCUACGGGAGGCAGCAGUGGGGAAUAUUGGACAAUGGGCGAAAGCCUGAUCCAGCAAUGCCGCGUGAGUGAUGAAGGCCCUAGGGUUGUAAAGCUCUUUUACCCGG